AUUUAAGGUGGGAUAUUCCUUAGAUAAUCAAAUACUUAACAAAAACAAAAGAUGCAUAGGUUACAAGCCAUUUUUUGAAAUAAAGCAAAGCUUAAAACAUCAAAGCAAGUCAAUCCAAGUCUCAUCCAAGGAAUUUACUCAUCCAACAAAGCUAGAUUUCGAGUCCUCAGCUUUCUUGGAAGAAUUACCUUCUUCACUUUCCUUUACAACUAUAUCCAUCUGCAUAACUAGUUUGGAUUUCUCUGACUCGAACUAUCUUGCUUCCUUGAAACCCAUGAGAAAACACCAGGCCCCAUUAAGAAUGCAUAUCCAAUGAUACUCUUCACAUUACCAGGACAUCCUGCAUAAUCACUAUAUGAAAAUCCCUGCGGUAUCCUGCAUAAUCACUAAUGAAAAUCCCUGCGGCGUUCAAUUUUCUGCAGAUGCAUACCAUAUGCCAUAAUCUGGGGUAACCUUCACAUACUUUAACACCCUUUUAACUGCAAUCAAGUGAUUUGACCUAGAGAUUGCAUAUAUCUAGAUAAAACACUGGCAAUAAACAUCAAAUUUGGCCAAGAAGCUGUCAAAUAUAAGAGCUUCCCACUAAACUUCUGUAAUAACUUGAAUCAACUUCGUCACCCUUAGCAGUGGUGGAAAUUUUCAACGCUAAUUUAUAGAUAGACUUACUUUUCAUUUUAAAAAAUUAGCUAUGAGGAUUUUAGCAACGAAUUUGAAUAUGUCGCUAAUAAUUAUACAUUUAAUUACGUGGGCCUUUUAAUAAUUUUUAGAUGGUAAUUUUAGCUCACUUUGUUGGGUUUCUCCUUUGGCAUUAAAAUGCAAUUGCUUAUGAA
RNAcentral lists this unclassified non-coding RNA (830 nucleotides) under Hevea brasiliensis (rubber tree). Lineage: Eukaryota; Viridiplantae; Streptophyta; Magnoliopsida; Malpighiales; Euphorbiaceae. The record is from RNAcentral.